ACCGCCAUAUUCACUUCAUAGCGCUCAACGGCUCAAGUCUAAACCACUCUCCCCUUGUAGGCUGUAUCCCUUUCUCCAUGGCCACAUGUCAUUGCCUCCUUCUCCCAGUUCCCUUCAAACCUACCAUUAUCCCUCCUAAACCCAUCUCCAAAAUCACCUGCUCGUCAAUCACAACCCAGUCACAAUCAGCCAAGCAACACCUCCUUACUCUAAUCUCCGAUCAACACCGUGGCCUCAAAACCCAAAAUGAUCCCAUUAAAAGAUCCUCAAUUAUCCAAGCCAUUGAUGCAAUGGCUGAUCUAGGAAAAGAUACAGUCACCACUGAUGACUCACUUUCUGCCACUUGGCGGUUGCUUUGGACCACAGAGAAAGAGCAGCUUUUUAUCAUAGAGAAAGCUCCAUUGUUUGGUACUCAAGCUGGUGAUGUUUUGCAGGUUAUAGAUGUUGAAAAAAGGACUCUUAAUAAUGUUAUCACUUUUCCACCUGAUGGGGUUUUCUUUGUACGCUCAAGUAUUGAAGUUUCUUCCUCUCAAAGAGUGAAUUUUAGAUUUACAAGUGCGGUUUUAAGAGGGAAGAAUUGGGAGAUACCGUUGCCGCCUUUCGGCCAGGGAUGGUUUGAAUCGUUGUACAUUGAUGAGGAGAUUAGAGUAGUGAAGGAUAUCAGGGGAGAUUAUUUAGUUGUUGACAAAGCUCCUUAUGCUUGGAAAGAAUGAAAGGUUCUGAUCUGAGUUGUGAAAGGAUAAUCAUGGAAACUAUUCAGUUGUGGAACAGGCUUCUCAUAAUUGGACAGAGCUGUAUUGUAUUAAUUUGUGAAUGUUCUGCUUCUUUAAAUUCCAUCUCGCCUCCAGCACCUUCCAAACUUUCUGUCUGAAGAUAGAUGGAGAUGGUUGAAAUCAACUUUGGAGACUCCUUGUAUCACACUUUCUCUCUUCACUAUACUGUAAUCAGAUUUUAGAGCCCCUUCAGCCAAGUCAAAUCAAAGCAAGCCAUGGAUAAUUUAUUUGCCUUGGACUCUGUACUUGCAGAUGCUUUAUGCAUUACUAUCAUAAUUUCUUAUGAUGUGUGAAUGAAGCGGAAGAUGAUGUCUCUAUCUCUCUUGCUGGUACGUGUGCUUCUCUCCCAUGUGUCUCUGGUUGUUGCCAUCUCAUCUGAUUCCUUGACAGUUAAGCCGAAUUUCACAAGUAGUUUUGGGCAGUCUUUUCGAAGAUGGUUUUAUUUGUGUUUCAAGGCUAUUCUUUCUGUUGAGAAGAUUAUAACAUUUCAUUAUUCUCGGCCUAUUUUGUGUCCCACCACCCUUUUCUUCGGUCUAAAAUGUGAACCUCACUGCUCCUGUCGUUCCCAUGUGUUUCUCAAGACCAUCGAGGAGGAGUUCUGGCUGUGAUCUUCCUUCUAGGUUUAAUUUCAAAUCAAUGCAAAUUUUUGGUC
RNA transcript from Populus trichocarpa (black cottonwood), 1425 nucleotides. It is a transcript of the gene named probable plastid-lipid-associated protein 11, chloroplastic, with no coding region annotated. NCBI's taxonomy places the organism in Eukaryota, Viridiplantae, Streptophyta, Magnoliopsida, Malpighiales, Salicaceae. The transcript has 6 exons. The record is from RefSeq and is a predicted model, not a curated record.